Molecule: ribosomal RNA, 253 nt
Filed under: uncultured bacterium
Lineage: Bacteria
Description: partial 16S ribosomal RNA
Rfam family: Bacterial small subunit ribosomal RNA
Source: RNAcentral
UACGGGGGGAGCAAGCGUUGUUCGGAUUUACUGGGCGUAAAGGGCGCGUAGGCGGCGCAACAAGUCACUUGUGAAAUCUCCGGGCUUAACUCGGAAAGGUCAACUGAUACUGUGCGACUAGAGUGCGGAAGGGGCAACUGGAAUUCUCGGUGUAGCGGUGAAAUGCGUAGAUAUCGUAAGGAAGACCAGUGGCGAAGGCGAAUCUCUGGACAGUUACUGACACUGAGGCACGAAGGCCAGGGGAGCAAACGGG